Molecule: ribosomal RNA, 491 nt
Filed under: uncultured bacterium
Lineage: Bacteria
Description: bacterial SSU rRNA
Rfam family: Bacterial small subunit ribosomal RNA
Source: RNAcentral
GAUGAACGCUAGCUACAGGCUUAACACAUGCAAGUCGAGGGGCAGCAUGGAACUUAGCUUGCUAAGUUCCGAUGGCGACCGGCGCACGGGUGAGUAACACGUAUCCAACCUACCGUUUACUACGGGAUAGCCUUCUGAAAAGGAGAUUAAUACCGUAUGGCAUUCUAAAGUUUCAUGACAUUAGAAUUAAAGGUUUACCGGUAAUCGAUGGGGAUGCGUUCCAUUAGAUAGUAGGCGGGUAACGGCCCACCUAGUCAGCGAUGGAUAGGGGUUCUGAGAGGAAGGUCCCCCACAUUGGAACUGAGACACGGUCCAAACUCCUACGGGAGGCAGCAGUGAGGAAUAUUGGUCAAUGGGCGCGAGCCUGAACCAGCCAAGUAGCGUGAAGGAUGACUGCCCUAUGGGUUGUAAACUUCUUUUAUAAAGGAAUAAAGUGGUCCACGUGUGGAUUUUUGUAUGUACUUUAUGAAUAAGGAUCGGCUAACUCCGUG